UGCCUUACACAUGCAAGUCGAACGACGUCAGGGGGCAACUCCUGGCGAGUGGCGAACGGGUGAGUAAUGCAUCGGAACGUGUCCUCUUGUGGGGGAUAACUAGUCGAAAGAUUGGCUAAUACCGCAUGAGAUCGCGAGAUGAAAGCGGGGGCUCCGCAAGGACCUCGCGCGAGAGGAGCGGCCGAUGCCCGAUUAGCUAGUUGGUGAGGUAACGGCUCACCAAGGCGACGAUCGGUAGCUGGUCUGAGAGGACGACCAGCCACACUGGGACUGAGACACGGCCCAGACUCCUACGGGAGGCAGCAGUGGGGAAUUUUGGACAAUGGGCGCAAGCCUGAUCCAGCCAUGCCGCGUGUGUGAAGAAGGCCUUCGAGUUGUAAAGCUC
This 385-nucleotide ribosomal RNA is filed under the name uncultured organism. RNAcentral describes it as "bacterial SSU rRNA". It matches the Rfam family "Bacterial small subunit ribosomal RNA", at positions 45 to 433 of the family's 1533-position model. The record is from RNAcentral.